AUGCUGACAUAAGUAACGAUAAAGCGGGUGAAAAGCCCGCUCGCCGGAAGACCAAGGGUUCCUGUCCAACGUUAAUCGGGGCAGGGUGAGUCGACCCCUAAGGCGAGGCCGAAAGGCGUAGUCGAUGGGAAACAGGUUAAUAUUCCUGUACUUGGUGUUACUGCGAAGGGGGGACGGAGAAGGCUAUGUUAGCCGGGCGACGGUUGUCCCGGUUUAAGCAUGUAGGCGGAGGUUCCAGGUAAAUCCGGUACCUUUUAACGCUGAGGUGUGAUGACGAGGCACUACGGUGCUGAAGUAACAAAUGCCCUGCUUCCAGGAAAAGCCUCUAAGCAUCAGGUAACACGAAAUCGUACCCCAAACCGACACAGGUGGUCAGGUAGAGAAUACCAAGGCGCUUGAGAGAACUCGGGUGAAGGAACUAGGCAAAAUGGUGCCGUAACUUCGGGAGA
Molecule: ribosomal RNA, 449 nt
Filed under: Enterobacter cloacae
Lineage: Bacteria; Pseudomonadati; Pseudomonadota; Gammaproteobacteria; Enterobacterales; Enterobacteriaceae
Description: partial 23S ribosomal RNA
Rfam family: Bacterial large subunit ribosomal RNA
Source: RNAcentral